AGAAAAGUUGAUUUACUGUCAUUAUAAUGAUUGUCAGAUGAAAAUCCUAUCUGAAAAGCUGCAAAUGUCAUAUGCCCAUAUAUUCCAUUGUGUGACAUAAUUAAUGAUAAAAGAGGGUCAAAAGAUACCAAAGGGACAGUCAAACUCAUAAAAAUAAACUGAAAACGCCAUGGCUAAAAAUGAAAAAGACAAACCGACAAACAGUAGUACACAUGACACAACAUAGAAAACUGAAGAAUAAACAACACAAACCCCACCAAAAACUAGGGGUGAUCUCAGGUGCUCCAGAAGGGUAAGCAGAUCCUGCUCCACAUGUGGCACCGUGGUGUUGCUUAUGUGAUAACAAAUCCAGUAAAAAGUCUAAUUCGGUAGGUCACAUUCAUGAAAGGGAAG
Molecule: long non-coding RNA, 393 nt
Filed under: Mytilus galloprovincialis (Mediterranean mussel)
Lineage: Eukaryota; Metazoa; Mollusca; Bivalvia; Mytilida; Mytilidae
Source: RNAcentral